RNAcentral lists this unclassified non-coding RNA (387 nucleotides) under uncultured bacterium. Its description in RNAcentral is "contains 16S-23S intergenic spacer region". The record is from RNAcentral.
UCCGGUUUGGCACCGGCAGUCCCCCCAGAGUCCCCGACGAGGUGUUUAGCCUCUCGCUGGCAACUGGGGGCAAGGGUUGCGCUCGUUGCGGGACUUAACCCAACAUCUCACGACACGAGCUGACGACAGCCAUGCACCACCUGUACACCGACCACAAGGGGGGCACCAUCUCUGAUGCUUUCCGGUGUAUGUCAAGCCUUGGUAAGGUUCUUCGCGUUGCGUCGAAUUAAGCCACAUGCUCCGCUGCUUGUGCGGGCCCCCGUCAAUUCGUUUGAGUUUCAGCCUUGCGACCGUACUCCCCAGGCGGGGCACUUACUGCGUUAGCUGCGGCACCCAAGGGGUCAAUACCUCGGACACCUAGUGCCCAUCGUUUACAGCGUGGACUAC